This is a small nucleolar RNA of Rattus norvegicus (Norway rat), 131 nucleotides long. Ensembl annotates it as small nucleolar RNA SNORA17. Lineage: Eukaryota; Metazoa; Chordata; Mammalia; Rodentia; Muridae. The record is from Ensembl.
CCUGCCCCAUAGGUACUGUGGGUGCGGCUGCCAUGUUUCAUGUGCAUCAAGGGGUGGCAGAGGGGAGGGAAGCUGUGUCUAUGCUCAGUGUGUUGGCCCAUGAAUAUCUGAAUGAUGGGUAACCUAACAUU